AUUGAACGCUGGCGGCAUGCCUAACACAUGCAAGUCGAACGGCAGCACGGCAGUAGCAAUACUGUGGGUGGCGAGUGGCGGACGGGUGAGGAAUACGUCGGAAUCUGCCCAGUCGUGGGGGAUAACUAGCCGAAAGGUUAGCUAAUACCGCAUACGACCGAGAGGUGAAAGCGGGGGACCGCAAGGCCUCGCGCGAUUGGAUGAGCCGACGUCGGAUUAGCUAGUUGUGGGUAAAGGCCCACCAAGGCGACGAUCCGUAGCUGGUCUGAGAGGAUGAUCAGCCACACUGGAACUGAGACACGGUCCAGACUCCUACGGGAGGCAGCAGUGGGGAAUAUUGGACAAUGGGCGCAAGCCUGAUCCAGCAAUGCCGCGUGUGUGAAGAAGGCC
RNAcentral lists this ribosomal RNA (390 nucleotides) under uncultured bacterium. RNAcentral's name for it is "bacterial SSU rRNA". It matches the Rfam family "Bacterial small subunit ribosomal RNA", at positions 29 to 416 of the family's 1533-position model. The record is from RNAcentral.